This 396-nucleotide ribosomal RNA is filed under the name Triticum aestivum (bread wheat). RNAcentral's name for it is "partial small subunit ribosomal RNA". The record is from RNAcentral. Lineage: Eukaryota; Viridiplantae; Streptophyta; Magnoliopsida; Poales; Poaceae.
AUGUCGUGGCAGACUUACGUCGACGAGCACCUGAUGUGCGACAUCGAGGGCCACCACCUCGCCUCCGCGGCCAUCCUCGGCCACGACGGCACCGUCUGGGCCCAGAGCGCCGACUUCCCCCAGUUCGCGCCCGCCGAGAUCACUGCCAUCAUGAAGGACUUCGACGAGCCGGGGCACCUCGCCCCCACCGGCAUGUUCGUUGCAGGUGCCAAGUACAUGGUUAUCCAGGGUGAACCUGGGGCCGUCAUCCGUGGCAAGAAGGGAGCAGGAGGCAUCACCAUCAAGAAGACCGGGCAGGCGCUGGUGGUUGGCGCCUACGAGGAGCCCAUGACCCCUGGGCAGUGCAACAUGGUGGUGGAGAGGCUCGGCGACUACCUCGUUGAACAAGGCAUGUAG